This 69-nucleotide transfer RNA is filed under the name Formosania lacustris. Its description in RNAcentral is "tRNA-Ala". It matches the Rfam family "tRNA". Rfam says of the family: Transfer RNA (tRNA) molecules are approximately 80 nucleotides in length. Their secondary structure includes four short double-helical elements and three loops (D, anti-codon, and T loops). The record is from RNAcentral. Lineage: Eukaryota; Metazoa; Chordata; Actinopteri; Cypriniformes; Gastromyzontidae.
AAGGCCUUAGCUUAAUUAAAGUGUCUGAUUUGCAUUCAGAAGAUGUGGGAUAGAGUCCUCGAGGUCUUA